Triticum aestivum (bread wheat) is the source of this 126-nucleotide non-coding RNA. Lineage: Eukaryota; Viridiplantae; Streptophyta; Magnoliopsida; Poales; Poaceae. The record is from Rfam.
CUACUACUCCCUCCGUCCGGAAAAACUUGUCCCAAGCUUGUUCCUCAUAUGGAUGUAUCUAGCACUAACUUGGUGCUAGAUACAUUCAUUUGAGGGACAAGCUUUUUCGGACGGAGGGAGUACUUU